Molecule: small nucleolar RNA, 101 nt
Organism: Callithrix jacchus (white-tufted-ear marmoset)
Lineage: Eukaryota; Metazoa; Chordata; Mammalia; Primates; Cebidae
Source: Ensembl
UUCAUUUUGUAGUUCAUAAGUAUGUUGAGUAUUACAAGCAUGUGUGAGCUGUGUCUCCCUCAAACCUUGUUAUGAUGUCGACAUAUUUAUCACAUUAGACA